UACGUAGGACCCAAGCGUUAUCCGGAGUGACUGGGCGUAAAGAGUUGCGUAGGCGGCUUAUUAAGCGAGUAGUGAAAUCUGGUGGCUCAACCAUCAAGACAUUGCUCGAACUGGUAGGCUUGAGAAUGGUAGAGGUAGUUGGAAUUUCUUGUGUAGGAGUGAAAUCCGUAGAUAUAAGAAGGAACACCAAUGGCGUAGGCAGACUACUGGACCAUUUCUGACGCUGAGGCACGAAAGCGUGGGGAGCGAACCGG
Molecule: ribosomal RNA, 254 nt
Filed under: uncultured bacterium
Lineage: Bacteria
Description: partial 16S ribosomal RNA
Rfam family: Bacterial small subunit ribosomal RNA
Source: RNAcentral